Molecule: small RNA, 148 nt
Filed under: Pongo abelii (Sumatran orangutan)
Lineage: Eukaryota; Metazoa; Chordata; Mammalia; Primates; Hominidae
Description: Metazoan signal recognition particle RNA (ENSPPYG00000030280.1)
Source: Rfam by way of RNAcentral
GCCGGGCAUGGUAGCGCAUGCCUGUAGUCCCAGCUACUCGGGAGGCUGAGGCAGGAGAAUCGCUUGAACCCGGGAGGCAGAGGUUGCAAUGAGCCGAGAUCGCACCACUACACUCCAGCCUGGGUGACAGAGCGAGACUCUGUCUCAA